UGCACGUUAAAGUUGUUUUAAAGUAAAAAUAUGUAAGCGUGAGAAAAGAUUAGCUAGCCUCAUUCAAGCGCAGCGCAGGGGACGCCACAUGCAACGGUGCCUCUUCGCGCGUUUUUUGUUACCGAUUUUGAAGCCAUGUUGUGCCAUGUUGAAACUUUUGGGCCACUUUCGGCAGCGGUGGCAGCUGUUUGUUCGUGCUGUGACUUUUCGAGUGGAGAAUUUAGGAUCGUGUUCGCAAGAACGGCAGCAACACCGCUUCAUUUCGGUUCGAUGCAGCUAGGAACGACCCGAAGUGGGCUAGCUAAUAUGCUGUCACACUGUAUCAAAACAGUGGCAGAGUGGUUGACAAAACUGCUGCUUCAGUGUCAUCCGUGACUCAAAGAAUACUAAAAACCACUAAGCCCGCCAAUCCCUGUGUAAGCAGCUGCAUCUUUCCCUGAGGUAACGCAAAGAACGAAGCUCCGUACCCGUGAUCUCUCAUCGACCAACUUUCUGCAUGGGAGUCUCGGUUGUCAGUAGAAGAUUACAACAAAGUAUUCCAGGGUGUCUUGGAUGGAUUCGUGGUCGUACCUGCAAAAGUGCCAGCGCUGACCUUUGGUAACAAGGGUGCAUCACUACACAUAUGCGGCAACUCAUACGAAAAAAAGAAGUAGAAAAGGAGACAAAAGAUUGAGCGGACUGUGCAUCAUUGGAAUUGUGCCAAAAGAUGCUGCGGGAUUUGCUGUAAUUGUGGUAGCAGUUGGAAACGUUGCCAGUCGUUAAACGAACUUGUGCACCAAUGAGCUGUUGAUAAUGUUGUGAAGCACUUUACGUCUGUGGGGUGCAUCGUUAAAGCAGUGUAGGAAAAAGUCACCAUAUCUGACUCUGGGCAGCCGUAAGACACGCUGUGAAAAUAGGAGUGUAAAAUCUGUCAUUAUCCAGAUGAAUUCAAAGAUGAAGAACUCGAGCGAACAAAAGUUUGUAGUUGAGCUCUUAUGCUCUUUUGUCUUUGUUUAUGAGCUGCUAGCUGAAGCUGAGCAUGGGAAUCACUAUUAGCUCUAGCUAUGCAGUGUCACUAGAACCAUUUGCUCUGAACAUGAUAAUGAUGUGAUGUGGCUAAACCCGUUGCAAUGGGCAAACAUGUAAAUUGCAUGCCCUAGUCAUGAAGAAACAAUGUAAUACAUAAAAACAAUACCAAUCAUAAAUAAAUACAGGUAAGCAAGCAUAAACAACACACAAGUAAGGGGAGAGAGAAAUGUGAGAGCUGCAGUGGUGUGCGCAACUAUCAACACUUGAGCAUUGCUAUUCUCCAACACUCAAUGUACGUUGUGCCUCCUUGUGCUGAAAUUGGCAAACUGCUACAGCACAGUCGUAUGAUACAACCUUUUAUAGGAAUUUAGUAAAACUGUGCAGAUAUUGCGUAGUAUAUUUAGACUUGGAAAUAAGACCAAUUCUAGAAAUAAAAGUUGAAUAUCGAGUUGAAAUCAGAAAAUUUAACACAAAUUUUUAUGCUAGAAUAUUUUGCGCAAAAUAAAACAGCUGUUUGACAUGCUCAGGUGUAUACUGUCGUUGCUAAUAAGAAUGCUACUAGCUAUCAGUAACUUGUGUACUUGGGAAUUGAGAUGUGCAGUAUGGUCUACUGUGAUUAAAAAUAUGCCAAAUUAUUAUGCCUGUACAUUACGCUAAUUGCAGCUCAGUUCUCGUACAAAAUAUUUUCUAUCAGUGGAUGUUGAUUCCGUCCUCUGAAGCUGAAGAAGCAGUGAAGUUGUGUUGUCUUGAAUAGCAGUAAGGGUUUCAGUUUUAUAACAGGCCAUACAAUGCCAGCGGUAGAUCAUACAGCCGUGGGGGUGGGAGUCGCUUAUCAAAAUACAGUAAAAGCUGGUUAAUAUGUACCCAGUUAAGACGCAGUUGUAACGAAUGUCGAAGUCAGUCUCCGUAGAGCAUAAUAGGUUCCUUGCACCUGCAUCACUGUCAACAGCUCACGGCAGGGCAUAAGAAAUUAAGAGAUUGUGCUGCUUAUGUACAGUGGUGAAGGUACAGCUUGUCAUUCGAAAUUGAUGCCGGACUGCAGAUGUGAGCUGCAGGCCUUAUCUUUAUCUGCCUAAUGUGCGCUGUCUACUUAAGUUUAGGAGGUGGUGUAGAGGACAGUGAUGGGCCUCAAGCGACAUCUCUAGUUGACUUCUCAGAUUGGUGUUCUUGAAGGGAGCGGAAAUCAACUGUGUUUACACUAUGUGGAUGAUCUGACAGCAUAUUGCCAAGAGCAACGUGCACUAUAGUACAUAUUUAUCUGCUCCACUUGAUAGGAGACAGUGCAAGCAGCUUAAACAUAUCUAACACAUUUAGAUUUGCUGUUAUUCAAAUAUGUUCGUGCAACAUUUCAAGUUCUGUAUUUUUUGUUUACAAUACCAGCAGUACAGAAAAUUUGCAUACAAAAUUUUGCUCAAAGCUGGUGUCCAAUCCACCUAAAUUUCGUGGUCUAAAUCGCUUUCCGUGCAGUUCAAGUGUCCCACGGUGCCACAAAAUGCAGAUGUGUGGAGCUAUGACUGCACAAUGCUGACAGAAUUGGGAACCCUGAACCACCUCUCGGGCUUGUUGAAAAAACAUUUUGUGGAUAGCAUAUGCUGUUGUGAAUAUGUCAGCCAAAUUUUGCACUUGUGUGUGAAGACUGGAGCACAAGCACGCACUCCAGCCCUGUCGUACGUACUACAGUUGUAUGUACCUGCAUCUACUGUAUUACGCAGAUAAUAUAGCCAAUGCAAAGUGCUGCGAUGAGCUCACUGCAGCACACUGACAACACCCUUGUGCUCUGAUCGUUAUCUUUGGUUGGCAUGGCUCCAGAUGGGUGUGGUGAACCGGCCCAAGCGCCAACAUCUGACGGGAGCAGGUCAUCUUCUUCCCGAGUUGCACGCCUUAGAGGUGAGCGAGCCGGUCAUUGCUUAUGCAAUAAAACUUAAAGUACAACACUACAUUGAGUGCAGA
Molecule: non-coding RNA, 2958 nt
Organism: Dermacentor andersoni
Lineage: Eukaryota; Metazoa; Arthropoda; Arachnida; Ixodida; Ixodidae
Source: RefSeq, a predicted model, not a curated record